This 435-nucleotide ribosomal RNA is filed under the name Crypthecodinium cohnii. RNAcentral describes it as "partial Bacterial large subunit ribosomal RNA". It matches the Rfam family "Bacterial large subunit ribosomal RNA", at positions 818 to 1243 of the family's 2925-position model. Lineage: Eukaryota; Dinophyceae; Gonyaulacales; Crypthecodiniaceae. The record is from RNAcentral.
GGGGUGAAAGGCCAAUCAAACUCGGAAAUAGCUGGUUCUCCGCGAAAGCUAUUUAGGUAGCGCCUCGGACGAAUACCAUUGGGGGUAGAGCACUGUUUCGGCUAGGGGGUCAUCCCGACUUACCAAACCGAUGCAAACUCCGAAUACCUACAAGUGCCGAGCAUGGGAGACACACGGCGGGUGCUAACGUCCGUCGUGAAAAGGGAAACAACCCAGACCGUCAGCUAAGGUCCCAAAGUUAUGGUUAAGUGGGAAACGAUGUGGGAAGGCUUAGACAGCUAGGAGGUUGGCUUAGAAGCAGCCAUCCUUUAAAGAAAGCGUAACAGCUCACUGGUCUAAACAAGGGUUCCUGCGCCGAAAAUGUAACGGGGCUCAAGCCACGAGCCGAAGCUUCGGAUGCAGUCCUUCGGGGCUGCGUGGUAGCGGAGCGUUCCC